UGGCGAACGGGUGAGUAACACGUGGGUAAUCUGCCCUUCACUCUGGGACAAGCCCUGGAAACGGGGUCUAAUACCGGAUAUCACUUGCGCAGGCAUCUGUGCGGGUUGAAAGCUCCGGCGGUGAAGGAUGAGCCCGCGGCCUAUCAGCUUGUUGGUGAGGUAACGGCUCACCAAGGCGACGACGGGUAGCCGGCCUGAGAGGGCGACCGGCCACACUGGGACUGAGACACGGCCCAGACUCCUACGGGAGGCAGCAGUGGGGAAUAUUGCACAAUGGGCGCAAGCCUGAUGCAGCGACGCCGCGUGAGGGAUGACGGCCUUCGGGUUGUAAACCUCUUUCAGCAGGGAAGAAGCGCAAGUGACGGUACCUGCAGAAGAAGCGCCGGCUAACUACGUGCCAGCAGCCGCGGUAAUACGUAGGGCGCAAGCGUUGUCCGGAAUUAUUGGGCGUAAAGAGCUCGUAGGCGGCUUGUCACGUCGGGUGUGAAAGCCCGGGGCUUAACCCCGGGUCUGCAUUCGAUACGGGCAGGCUAGAGUGUGGUAGGGGAGAUCGGAAUUCCUGGUGUAGCGGUGAAAUGCGCAGAUAUCAGGAGGAACACCGGUGGCGAAGGCGGAUCUCUGGGCCAUUACUGACGCUGAGGAGCGAAAGCGUGGGGAGCGAACAGGAUUAGAUACCCUGGUAGUCCACGCCGUAAACGGUGGGAACUAGGUGUUGGCGACAUUCCACGUCGUCGGUGCCGCAGCUAACGCAUUAAGUUCCCCGCCUGGGGAGUACGGCCGCAAGGCUAAAACUCAAAGGAAUUGA
This 805-nucleotide ribosomal RNA is filed under the name Streptomyces griseorubiginosus. RNAcentral's name for it is "bacterial SSU rRNA". It matches the Rfam family "Bacterial small subunit ribosomal RNA", at positions 96 to 913 of the family's 1533-position model. The record is from RNAcentral. Lineage: Bacteria; Bacillati; Actinomycetota; Actinomycetes; Kitasatosporales; Streptomycetaceae.